RNAcentral lists this ribosomal RNA (463 nucleotides) under uncultured bacterium. RNAcentral describes it as "partial 16S ribosomal RNA". It matches the Rfam family "Bacterial small subunit ribosomal RNA", at positions 30 to 507 of the family's 1533-position model. The record is from RNAcentral.
CGAACGCUGGCGGCGUGCUUAACACAUGCAAGUCGUACGGUAAGGCCCUUUCGGGGGUACACGAGUGGCGAACGGGUGAGUAACACGUGAGUAACCUGCCCACAACUUUGGGAUAACGCUAGGAAACUGGUGCUAAUACUGGAUAUGUGCUCCUGCUGCAUGGUGGGGGUUGGAAAGCUCCGGCGGUUGUGGAUGGACUCGCGGCCUAUCAGCUUGUUGGAGGGGUAGUGGCCUACCAAGGCGGCGACGGGUAGCCGGCCUGAGAGGGUGACCGGCCACAUUGGGACUGAGAUACGGCCCAGACUCCUACGGGAGGCAGCAGUGGGGAAUAUUGCACAAUGGGCGCAAGCCUGAUGCAGCAACGCCGCGUGCGGGAUGACGGCCUUCGGGUUGUAAACCGCUUUCAGCAGGGACGAAGCUUUUUGUGACGGUACCUGCAGAAGAAGCACCGGCUAACUACGUG